Molecule: ribosomal RNA, 253 nt
Filed under: uncultured bacterium
Lineage: Bacteria
Description: partial 16S ribosomal RNA
Rfam family: Bacterial small subunit ribosomal RNA
Source: RNAcentral
UACGUAGGGUGCAAGCGUUGUCCGGAAUUAUUGGGCGUAAAGAGCUCGUAGGCGGUCUGUCGCGUCGGCUGUGAAAACUCGGGGCUCAACUCCGAGCUUGCAGUCGAUACGGGCAGGCUAGAGUUCGGCAGGGGAGACUGGAAUUCCUGGUGUAGCGGUGAAAUGCGCAGAUAUCAGGAGGAACACCGGUGGCGAAGGCGGCUAUCUGGACGGUUUCUGACACUAAGACUCGAAAGCGUGGGGAGCAAACAGG